UCGAGAAUUUUUCUCAAUGGGCGAAAGCCUGAAGGAGCGACGCCGCGUGGGGGAUGAAUGGCUUCGGCCCGUAAACCCCUGUCAUUCGGGAUCAAUGCUUACCAGCUAAUAAAGGGUAAGUUGAUAGUACCGGAAGAGGAAGGGACGGCUAACUCUGUGCCAGCAGCCGCGGUAAUACAGAGGUCCCAAGCGUUGUUCGGAUUUACUGGGCGUAAAGGGUGCGUAGGUGGUUGGGUAAGUCUGAUGUGAAAUCUCCGGGCUCAACCCGGAAAUGGCAUUGGAUACUAUUUGACUAGAGGGUUGGAGGGGGGACUGGAAUACUUGGUGUAGCAGUGAAAUGCGUAGAUAUCAAGUGGAACACCAGUGGCGAAGGCGAGUCCCUGGACAACUCCUGACACUGAGGCACGAAAGCUAGGGGAGCAAACAG
RNAcentral lists this ribosomal RNA (427 nucleotides) under uncultured bacterium. RNAcentral's name for it is "bacterial SSU rRNA". It matches the Rfam family "Bacterial small subunit ribosomal RNA", at positions 355 to 775 of the family's 1533-position model. The record is from RNAcentral.